GAGCUAUUUCUGCUGUCAAGAUUUACUCCAUUGGAAUAUAGAUAUAAAUGUCCCUCCGACCUGAGACCGCCAUGGUGACUUGCAAGCAACUCACUGCACUUAGGCACUGGACUACCUGAAUUUCUAAUUCAGUGACGGAAGGCUGCUGGGUGUAGUAAGUACUUGACUUGUUGGUGCAUGUGUUAAGAUGGGAUUGACCA
Molecule: long non-coding RNA, 200 nt
Filed under: Elaeis guineensis (African oil palm)
Lineage: Eukaryota; Viridiplantae; Streptophyta; Magnoliopsida; Arecales; Arecaceae
Description: long non-coding RNA (EGUI_LNC063837)
Source: RNAcentral